This 332-nucleotide long non-coding RNA is filed under the name Ananas comosus (pineapple). Its description in RNAcentral is "long non-coding RNA (ACOM_LNC004768)". Lineage: Eukaryota; Viridiplantae; Streptophyta; Magnoliopsida; Poales; Bromeliaceae. The record is from RNAcentral.
GAAUUUAUUAUUCAAAAUUUAACGGUUAUCUCAGUCAUUUCAUUUAACAAAAGGCUAAAAUACAGAAACUCUUUUAUUAAUAGCCGUUUUUUAUACUUCAUUCUUUACCUUUUAAAAAAAAACUUAUUUUAUUCUUUUAAAAUUCAAAAUUGUAGUAUUUAAUCUUAUACUGUUAUUAUUUUGUCAUCGUUUCGUGCAAAUUUAUUUAUUUAUAACAAAAGAAACCCAAUUACACAAGCUAAAAUAUAAUUAUAGAGACAUCUAAAUGAAUAUCUAUUAAUCAAUAUGAUUUACAAAGUAUAAAUGAUCUAGUCAUAAAAAAUUAUAAUUUU